Molecule: long non-coding RNA, 291 nt
Filed under: Prunus persica (peach)
Lineage: Eukaryota; Viridiplantae; Streptophyta; Magnoliopsida; Rosales; Rosaceae
Description: long non-coding RNA (PPER_LNC006806)
Source: RNAcentral
UUUAAUGGUUUUGAUCAUUUAACCAAUCCGUGUUGCUAGGCCCAUCAUCCUGGAAAAGUCUUCUUCUCAUAACAUCCCUUCAUUCUAGCUUCCAAAAUUGUUUUGUUUCAGGGGACAUAUGGCUUGUAUCCAUCGCCAUGGUUUCCCGAUCCGUCUUGUCCAUCUCUUUUUUAAGCAAAUACUACCUUUCUUGUGCAUAUUCUGCUCGCAUUGCCAUCUCGUUCUCUUGGCGUUUCUGCUCCAUUUCAACUCUUAUGGCGUUCUGCCUUGCAAUUUCCUCCAAAAGUUUUG